UAACGAAUCUUCCGCAAUGGGCGAAAGCCUGACGGAGCAAUGCCGCGUGUGGGAUGAAGCGCCUUCGGCGUGUAAACCACUGUCAGGGAAUGGAACCAAUGAUUAUUCCCAAAGGAAGUGGCGACUAACUCUGUGCCAGCAGUCGCGGUAAUACAGAGGCCACAAGCGUUAGUCGGAAUCACUGGGCUUAAAGGGUGCGUAGGCGGGCCCGCAAGCGUCUUGUGAAAUCCCAUGGCUCAACCAUGGAAUUGCAGGGCGAACUGCGGGUCUUGAGGCAGGUAGGGGCCGGAAGAACAGUAGGUGGAGCGGUGAAAUGCGUAGAUAUCUACUGGAAUGCCGAUGGGGAAGCCGUCCGGCUGGGCCUGUCCUGACGCUGAGGCACGAAAGCGUGGGGAGCAAACAGGAUUAGAUACCCAAGUAGUCCCUGAGCGGGCUGGCAAGGCGCAU
Molecule: ribosomal RNA, 447 nt
Filed under: uncultured bacterium
Lineage: Bacteria
Description: bacterial SSU rRNA
Rfam family: Bacterial small subunit ribosomal RNA
Source: RNAcentral